GGACGUUCGACAUGACUCGCGUUUUUCAGCAGAUGUGAUCAUCGAAUCUUUAGAACGCACAUUGCGCCCUCUGGUAUUCCAGGGGGCAUGCCUGUUUGAGCGUCAUUUCUCUCUCAAACCUUUGGGUUUGGUAGUGAGUGAUACUCGUCUCGGGUUAACUUGAAAGUGGCUAGCCGUUGCCAUCUGCGUGAGCAGGGCUGCGUGUCAAGUCUAUGGACUCGACUCUUGCACAUCUACGUCUUAGGUUUGCGCCAAUUCGUGGUAAGCUUGGGUCAUAGAGACUCAUAGGUGUUAUAAAGACUCGCUGGUGUUUGUCUCCUUGAGGCAUACGGCUUUAACCAAAACUCUCAAAGUUUGACCUCAAAUCAGGUAGGAGUACCCGCUGAACUUAAGCUUAUCAAUAAGCGGAGGAA
RNAcentral lists this ribosomal RNA (413 nucleotides) under uncultured Kluyveromyces. Its description in RNAcentral is "eukaryotic LSU rRNA". The stretch from base 356 to 413 matches the Rfam family "Eukaryotic large subunit ribosomal RNA", at positions 1 to 58 of the family's 3401-position model. The record is from RNAcentral. Lineage: Eukaryota; Fungi; Ascomycota; Saccharomycetes; Saccharomycetales; Saccharomycetaceae.